Helianthus annuus (common sunflower) is the source of this 1290-nucleotide RNA transcript. RefSeq lists it as uncharacterized. The transcript has 7 exons. The record is from RefSeq and is a predicted model, not a curated record. Lineage: Eukaryota; Viridiplantae; Streptophyta; Magnoliopsida; Asterales; Asteraceae.
UCUUACCUUCUUUCCUCAAACCCUAGAAUUCACAAUCUUCUCAUUCAUGCCUUCUUUCUUCAAUCCUCUGCUCCAUUCAACCUUCAGUGAUAUGGAUUUUGAGAAUGAGAGCCAGAGAGAGAAAUAGAGGAUUUGGGAGAAACAGACCGCUAAUUUCCAUUUUGGUUUCUGGAAUUGGUGAAUCGGGAGAUGCUGAUGAUUUUCAACUCGUGGUGGUGUUGUCUUACAAGUUUGCUGGUCUGUAGUGGAAUAGCGGGUUUCUUCAACAUUCGGCACCACCAAAGCUGUCAAGGUAAAGACCAAGAUUACAUAUAAUAUUGGACUUAAAUGUGUUUGUGUGCGCGCGCGUGUUUUAGGUGGCACGCGGUCCAUUUGUGUGUUUGCUGAUGAGUGAUGAGAUGGGAAGCAGUUCGGUUUCUCCGCUAAUCGUGACAGGUGGAAAAGGCGGAGAUGUCGGAGUUCAUGAUCUCCGUUACAUAGCCACAUGAAACCAAAAAAACACAAAAAUUCUGAUAACGAUGAUCAAAAGUUCAGUGCAUCUUCAACCGCAGGUUUGCAUAAUAAACACAUGGAUCAAAAUGGAAAUGGAAUAUUGUGGUACAUACCAAAAGCUCACUCUGGGAGUGUAACAAGAAUAUCGGCUAUUCCAAAUACGAGUUUUUUCUUAACUGAAAGUAAAGAUAGAGAUGUAAAGCUAUGGGAUGCUAAGAGGGCAACAUUGGUAUAUCACUGGCAAAAAAAUGCACGAUAGACACACCUUCAUUCAACCUAGCUCUAGAGGAUUUGGAGGAGUUGUUAGGUUGUUUCAAAUGAUUUUCUUUCAUGUGGUGGUGAUGGUUCAGUUAAGCUAAGCUGGUUUAACUUAGAGAUUUACUAUAAUCCACUUGGCCCAUGUCUGUCGGCCCAUCGUCAACGUCCUGUUUUUGGUGCUGUUCCAACGAUACGAGUAUGUUCUAUGGAAUGAAGUUCUUCAAUGACUUACUAAUGGAAGCUGGCCCGAUCGUAAAUAUACAGUCGGUAGUACUACUACAAAAAGAUUAGAACACAUUCACUUUCAUGCAAGGAUUGUGCAAGGAUUGACUGAGUUGCCUUAACACUCGUCAUAACGCUGAAUCUUUUGGUGUUCAGCAAUUGAAAGACUAUCAUCCGACCUUUUGGUUGGAGGGGACUCGAUUUACUUAAAGAAAGCUUUUAGCAACUCAAUGAUAUGCAACUUCAAAGAGACUUGACUAUCUUCAAAUUGUAUAUGCACUUUCUUAGUAAUUUAUGUAAUAUGCCACUUUUAUUUUA